ACUCCUACGGGAGGCAGCAGUGGGGAAUAUUGGACAAUGGGGGAAACCCUGAUCCAGCCAUGCCGCGUGUGUGAAGAAGGUCUUCGGAUUGUAAAGCACUUUAAGUUGGGAGGAAGAGCAGUAAGUUAAUACCUUGCUGUUUGACGUUACCGACAGAAUAAGCACCGGCUAACUCUGUGCCAGCAGCCGCGGUAAUACAGAGGGUGCAAGCGUUAAUCGGAAUUACUGGGCGUAAAGCGCGCGUAGGUGGUUGCGUAAGUUGAAGGUGAAAUCCCCGGGCUUAACCUGGGAACUGCCUCCAAAACUGCGUGGCUAGAGUACGGUAGAGGGUAGUGGAAUUUCCUGUGUAGCGGUGAAAUGCGUAGAUAUAGGAAGGAACACCAGUGGCGAAGGCGACUACCUGGACUGAUACUGACACUGAGGUGCGAAAGCGUGGGAGCAAACAGGAUUAGAUACCCUGGUAGGAUAGCG
This 471-nucleotide ribosomal RNA is filed under the name uncultured bacterium. RNAcentral describes it as "bacterial SSU rRNA". It matches the Rfam family "Bacterial small subunit ribosomal RNA", at positions 335 to 799 of the family's 1533-position model. The record is from RNAcentral.